GACGAACGCUGGCGGCGUGCUUAACACAUGCAAGUCGAACAGAAAGGCCCUGCUUUUGUGGGGUGCUCGAGUGGCGAACGGGUGAGUAACACGUGAGUAACCUACCCUUGACUUUGGGAUAACUUCAGGAAACUGGGGCUAAUACCGGAUAGGAGCUCCUGCUGCAUGGUGGGGGUUGGAAAGUUUCGGCGGUUGGGGAUGGACUCGCGGCUUAUCAGCUUGUUGGUGGGGUAGUGGCUUACCAAGGCUUUGACGGGUAGCCGGCCUGAGAGGGUGACCGGCCACAUUGGGACUGAGAUACGGCCCAGACUCCUACGGGAGGCAGCAGUGGGGAAUAUUGCACAAUGGGCGGAAGCCUGAUGCAGCAACGCCGCGUGCGGGAUGACGGCCUUCGGGUUGUAAACCGCUUUCGCCUGUGACGAAGCGUGAGUGACGGUAAUGGGUAAAGAAGCACCGGCUAACUACGUG
RNAcentral lists this ribosomal RNA (468 nucleotides) under uncultured bacterium. Its description in RNAcentral is "partial 16S ribosomal RNA". It matches the Rfam family "Bacterial small subunit ribosomal RNA", at positions 28 to 507 of the family's 1533-position model. The record is from RNAcentral.